CGUGUAGGCGGUCUCGCAAGUCGGAUGUGAAAGCCCAGGGCUCAACCCUGGAAGUGCACUCGAUACUGCGAGGCUAGAGUCCCGGAGAGGAUGGUGGAACUCUCGGUGUAGAGGUGAAAUUCGUAGAUAUCGAGAAGAACACCGGUGGCGAAGGCGGCCAUCUGGACGGUGACUGACGCUGAGACGCGAAAGCGUGGGAGCAAACA
Molecule: ribosomal RNA, 206 nt
Filed under: uncultured bacterium
Lineage: Bacteria
Description: partial 16S ribosomal RNA
Rfam family: Bacterial small subunit ribosomal RNA
Source: RNAcentral